AGCUCAUCUGCAAAUGUGUUGUCAACACCCCGAUCAGCCAAGAAGUCCAUCAAGUGGUCAUAGAGUGCCUGUGGAGAGGUUCAGAAAAGCAGACUUCGCACCAGGAAAGCAAGUGGAAAGGCCUCACCUCAUCCUCAGGGAAAUGACAAUCGAACACCAGGGAAUUUUUGGCCCCCUGUUUGGUCACUUCGACAACAAAGUUAGGCGUGGAGACGACGUCAGGCUGGAAAAAAAGAAAACGAGAACCAAGUAUGAAGCCCUCCACAGCCGCAGGACGGCAGCGUGUGUUUAGUGCUGAGCAGUUUGGAGCGAGUAGUAGCCGCGCCGUUCUUACCGCACAUCAUCCAGAUGGAGCGGGUGAAGGGCCGAGCUGUAGCCGAGGACGGAGCGCAUAGCGCGGAUCUGAUGAACGGUUCUACAGGCCGGGACGCUGCUCCAACCGGGGCUCUGUGUGAGAGGCGAGCUGCGACACUGACAGCGCGGGUUAAAGACUUCAACAUGGCUGAGCUCAACAGUGAACUUGUUCUCCUCUCAGCAGUAGCAGAACGUUACCGGCGACACGAGUGAGCAGAACACACUGGAAACACGUGUGAAGGAAGGACACUGUAACCUCACUCUAACUCGGAAAUGGUUCUCAAAGACGCAGGAAAUGACUUCAAAGGCUGUGUCCUAAAUGUGACCUACAUUGUAAAAACGAAGUGCACUAGAUAGUGUAUAGAUGCCAGUAAUACGCCAUCUAAUGGUAAAGCUAGUUUCUGCCAACCCCUAAAUGAAAUAAAAAUCAUUGCUUUAAUAACA
Molecule: long non-coding RNA, 798 nt
Organism: Trichomycterus rosablanca
Lineage: Eukaryota; Metazoa; Chordata; Actinopteri; Siluriformes; Trichomycteridae
Exons: 3
Source: RefSeq, a predicted model, not a curated record